UGGGGAAUUUUGGACAAUGGGCGAAAGCCUGAUCCAGCAAUGCCGCGUGUGUGAAGAAGGCCUUCGGGUUGUAAAGCACUUUUGUCCGGAAAGAAAUCCUUGGCUCUAAUACAGUCGGGGGAUGACGGUACCGGAAGAAUAAGCACCGGCUAACUACGUGCCAGCAGCCGCGGUAAUACGUAGGGUGCAAGCGUUAAUCGGAAUUACUGGGCGUAAAGCGUGCGCAGGCGGUUUGCUAAGACCGAUGUGAAAUCCCCGGGCUCAACCUGGGAACUGCAUUGGUGACUGGCAGGCUAGAGUAUGGCAGAGGGGGGUAGAAUUCCACGUGUAGCAGUGAAAUGCGUAGAGAUGUGGAGGAAUACCGAUGGCGAAGGCAGCCCCCUGGGCCAAUACUGACGCUCAUGCACGAAAGCGUGGGGAGCAAACAGGAUUAGAUACCCUGGUAGUCCACGCCCUAAACGAUGUCACUAGUUGUUGGGGAUUCAUUUCCUUAGUAACGUAGCUAACGCGUGAAGUUGACCGCCUGGGGGAGUACGGUCGCAAGAUUAAAACUCAAAUGAAUUGACGGGGUCAUAGCUGUUU
This 582-nucleotide ribosomal RNA is filed under the name uncultured bacterium. RNAcentral describes it as "partial 16S ribosomal RNA". It matches the Rfam family "Bacterial small subunit ribosomal RNA", at positions 355 to 935 of the family's 1533-position model. The record is from RNAcentral.